UACGAAGGGGGCUAGCGUUGCUCGGAAUCACUGGGCGUAAAGGGUGCGUAGGCGGGUCUUUAAGUCAGGGGUGAAAUCCUGGAGCUCAACUCCAGAACUGCCUUUGAUACUGAAGAUCUUGAGUUCGGCAGAGGUGAGUGGAACUGCGAGUGUAGAGGUGAAAUUCGUAGAUAUUCGCAAGAACACCAGUGGCGAAGGCGGCUCACUGGCCCGAUACUGACGCUGAUGCACGAAAGCGUGGGGAGCAAACAGG
Molecule: ribosomal RNA, 253 nt
Filed under: uncultured bacterium
Lineage: Bacteria
Description: partial 16S ribosomal RNA
Rfam family: Bacterial small subunit ribosomal RNA
Source: RNAcentral